RNAcentral lists this non-coding RNA (46 nucleotides) under Schistosoma margrebowiei. Lineage: Eukaryota; Metazoa; Platyhelminthes; Trematoda; Strigeidida; Schistosomatidae. The record is from RNAcentral.
GCACUGCUGAAGAGUCCUGCAACAGGACGAAACGGCCUUUCAGUGC